This 430-nucleotide ribosomal RNA is filed under the name uncultured bacterium. RNAcentral describes it as "partial 16S ribosomal RNA". It matches the Rfam family "Bacterial small subunit ribosomal RNA", at positions 354 to 796 of the family's 1533-position model. The record is from RNAcentral.
GUGGGGAAUAUUGCACAAUGGGCGAAAGCCUGAUGCAGCAACGCCGCGUGAGGGACGACGGCCUUCGGGUUGUAAACCUCUUUUAGCAGGAAAGAAGCGAAAGUGACGGUACCUGCAGAAAAAGCGCCGGCUAACUACGUGCCAGCAGCCGCGGUAAUACGUAGGGCGCAAGCGUUAUCCGGAAUUAUUGGGCGUAAAGAGCUCGUAGGCGGUCUGUCGCGUCUGCUGUGAAAACCCGAGGCUCAACCUCGGGCCUGCAGUGGGUACGGGCAGACUAGAGUGCGGUAGGGGAGAUUGGAAUUCCUGGUGUAGCGGUGGGAUGCGCAGAUAUCAGGAGGAACACCGAUGGCGAAGGCAGAUCUCUGGGCCGUAACUGACGCUGAGGAGCGAAAGGGUGGGGAACAAACAGGCUUAGAAACCCCGGUAGUCC